This 492-nucleotide ribosomal RNA is filed under the name uncultured bacterium. Its description in RNAcentral is "partial 16S ribosomal RNA". It matches the Rfam family "Bacterial small subunit ribosomal RNA", at positions 29 to 507 of the family's 1533-position model. The record is from RNAcentral.
AGUGAACGCUGGCGGUAGGCCUAACACAUGCAAGUCGAACGGCAGCACAGUAAGAGCUUGCUCUUACGGGUGGCGAGUGGCGGACGGGUGAGGAAUACAUCGGAAUCUACUUUUUCGUGGGGGAUAACGUAGGGAAACUUACGCUAAUACCGCAUACGACCUACGGGUGAAAGCAGGGGAUCUUCGGACCUUGCGCGAUUGAAUGAGCCGAUGUCGGAUUAGCUAGUUGGCGGGGUAAAGGCCCACCAAGGCGACGAUCCGUAGCUGGUCUGAGAGGAUGAUAGGCCACACUGGAGCUGAGACACGGUCAAGACUCCUACGGGAGGCAGCAGUGGGGAAUAUUGGACAAUGGGCGCAAGCCUGAUCCAGCCAUACCGCGUGGGUGAAGAAGGCCUUCGGGUUGUAAAGACCUUUUGUUGGGAAAGAAAAGCAGCAGGUUAAUACCCCGCUGUUCUGACGGUAACCAAAGAAUAAGCACCGGCUAACUUCGUG